RNAcentral lists this ribosomal RNA (476 nucleotides) under uncultured Chitinophaga sp. RNAcentral's name for it is "bacterial SSU rRNA". It matches the Rfam family "Bacterial small subunit ribosomal RNA", at positions 110 to 583 of the family's 1533-position model. The record is from RNAcentral. Lineage: Bacteria; Pseudomonadati; Bacteroidota; Chitinophagia; Chitinophagales; Chitinophagaceae.
GGAACACGUACGCAACUUACCCUGAACUGGGGCAUAGCCCGGGGAAACCCGGAUUAAUACCCCGUAACACUUUUAGGUGGCAUCACCUGAUGGUUAAAGCUCCGGUGGUUCAGGAUGGGCGUGCGGCUGAUUAGGUAGUUGGUUGGGGUAACGGCCCACCAAGCCAACGAUCAGUAACUGGUGUGAGAGCACGACCAGUCACACGGGCACUGAGACACGGGCCCGACUCCUACGGGAGGCAGCAGUAAGGAAUAUUGGGCAAUGGAGGCAACUCUGACCCAGCCAUGCCGCGUGGAGGAUGAAGGCCCUCUGGGUUGUAAACUUCUUUUACUUGGGACGAAACCUUCUUAUUCUUAGGAAGUUGACGGUACCAAGGGAAUAAGCACCGGCUAACUCCGUGCCAGCAGCCGCGGUAAUACGGAGGGUGCAAGCGUUAUCCGGAUUCACUGGGUUUAAAGGGUGCGUAGGCGGGCAGG